This 513-nucleotide ribosomal RNA is filed under the name uncultured bacterium. RNAcentral's name for it is "bacterial SSU rRNA". It matches the Rfam family "Bacterial small subunit ribosomal RNA", at positions 9 to 517 of the family's 1533-position model. The record is from RNAcentral.
GAGUUUGAUCCUGGCUCAGAUUGAACGCUGGCGGCAGGCCUAACACAUGCAAGUCGAGCGGUAGAGAGAAGCUUGCUUCUCUUGAGAGCGGCGGACGGGUGAGUAAUGCCUAGGAAUCUGCCUGGUAGUGGGGGAUAACGCUCGGAAACGGACGCUAAUACCGCAUACGUCCUACGGGAGAAAGCAGGGGACCUUCGGGCCUUGCGCUAUCAGAUGAGCCUAGGUCGGAUUAGCUAGUUGGUGAGGUAAUGGCUCACCAAGGCGACGAUCCGUAACUGGUCUGAGAGGACGAUCAGUCACACUGGAACUGAGACACGGUCCAGACUCCUACGGGAGGCAGCAGUGGGGAAUAUUGGACAAUGGGCGAAAGCCUGAUCCAGCCAUGCCGCGUGUGUGAAGAAGGUCUUCGGAUUGUAAAGCACUUUAAGUUGGGAGGAAGGGCAGUAAAUUAAUACUUUGCUGUUUUGACGUUACCGACAGAAUAAGCACCGGCUAACUCUGUGCCAGCAGCCG